This 351-nucleotide long non-coding RNA is filed under the name Cucumis sativus (cucumber). Its description in RNAcentral is "long non-coding RNA (CSAT_LNC001330)". Lineage: Eukaryota; Viridiplantae; Streptophyta; Magnoliopsida; Cucurbitales; Cucurbitaceae. The record is from RNAcentral.
AAAUAAGGAAGAGAGAAAAGAGAAAAAAAGGUCCCACAAUCCCAAUCUAAAAGAUUCCAAGUCCACCCUCUCCAUUUGGAAUCCAAAUCCUUCAUCUCUUCUCUUUUCCUCUCCCUAUAAAUAAACUCCCAAAUCAAAUCCAAACACAAACACAAACAAACCCAUUUCAAUCAACCAAAUAUAUAUCCAAACAAAGCUAAGAAAAAGAAAAAGGGAAAAAGAAAAGAACGUCUAACCCGUUCGGAUUACGAAAAUGUCAGGCGUUUGGGUAUUUCGAUCCAACGGCGUGAUGCGUCUCGUCGAAAACUCUCAAGCCGGCGACGAUUACUCCUCGGACGGUCACGGCCACCA